CACAGACAAGCACAAAGCUCUGCCAUGUGCAGACACGACACGCUGUCAAGCUCUUCUGCAACCAAGGAAGUCGCUUUUUCCGUAUUCUCAGAAUUCAAUGUAGACUACAGCAGGAGGAAGGAUGUGGAGCAAUAGACAGUUUGCGUGAGACGUCAAGUGAGGAGUUCAGUGGAAAUCGGUAUGGUAUAGCGUUCUGAGCCAACAAAUGUCUUUGUUAGAGCUUGAACAUACAUACAGCAUUCAGAAGCUCAGAGAUGUGCAGCGCUGCAGGAACAAGACGUCGCAACACUGGAUGGCACACUGAGAUGAAACACCAUCAGUUUCACUUUUUCGGAACAGCUCUGUCAAAAAGAGAGAAAGAAAAAAAGAGAAAAAACCCAGAGAACAGCCACAGAAGAAUAUGUGAGACUUCAAUAGCUGUUAAUUAUUUAAAACUACAUUCAUUGCAUGAUUAUAGGAUGUUCUGUCGACUACACUGCUACUAUUACUUUUUUUUUGUAUCUAAUGGAGAAAUGUAUAUGUGCUGGAUAUGAUCGAAGAUUGCACUGAUGUCAUUUGCUCACUCAGUACUCAGUGUAGGGUCUGUCUUAUAUCAAAAUGCAGCUACAUCUGAUUACUGGGUCAGUAAAGAUUCCACACGCUUCAAUCCAAAGUUCUUCAAGAAAACUAGAAAUUAUAUUUUGUAUCUAUGAGUUUCUAUUUCUUUCUUUCUUUCGUUCUUUUUUUUUUUUUUUUUUUUUUUAAACGCAUUUCAUAAGCACUGGAAGAUGAAUGGGGUGGCCAGGACUGCUUUUGUAAAAUUAUUAUGCUUUAUAAUCCACGAUGUAAUACACAGUUCAUGUAACAAAAUAAAAUUUUGUCAAAAACAA
Long non-coding RNA from Cyprinus carpio (common carp), 869 nucleotides. RefSeq lists it as uncharacterized. Lineage: Eukaryota; Metazoa; Chordata; Actinopteri; Cypriniformes; Cyprinidae. The transcript has 2 exons. The record is from RefSeq and is a predicted model, not a curated record.